RNAcentral lists this ribosomal RNA (586 nucleotides) under uncultured bacterium. RNAcentral describes it as "partial 16S ribosomal RNA". It matches the Rfam family "Bacterial small subunit ribosomal RNA", at positions 355 to 1375 of the family's 1533-position model. The record is from RNAcentral.
UGGGGAAUUUUGGACAAUGGGCGAAAGCCUGAUCCAGCAAUGCCGCGUGUGUGAAGAAGGCCUUCGGGUUGUAAAGCACUUUUGUCCGGAAAGAAAUCCUUGGCUCUAAUACAGUCGGGGGAUGACGGUACCGGAAGAAUAAGCACCGGCUAACUACGUGCCAGCAGCCGCGGUAAUACGUAGGGUGCAAGCGUUAAUCGGAAUUACUGGGCGUAAAGCGUGCGCAGGCGGUUUGCUAAGACCGAUGUGAAAUCCCCGGGCUCAACCUGGGAACUGCAUUGGUGACUGGCAGGCUAGAGUAUGGCAGAGGGGGGUAGAAUUCCACGUGUAGCAGUGAAAUGCGUAGAGAUGUGGAGGAAUACCGAUGGCGAAGGCAGCCCCCUGGGCCAAUACUGACGCUCAUGCACGAAAGCGUGGGGAGCAAACAGGAUUAGAUACCCUGGUAGUCCACGCCCUAAACGAUGUCAACUAGUUGUUGGGGGAUUCAUUUCCUUAGUAACGUAGCUAGCGCGUGAAGUUGACCGCCUGGGGAGUACGGUCGCAAGAUUAAAACUCAAAUGAAUUGACGGGGUCAUAGCUGUUUCCU